GCCCCCGUAGCUCAGUGGAUAGAGCAGAAGCCUUCUAAUCUUUUUGUCGCGAGUUCGACUCUCGCCGGGGGCA
This 73-nucleotide transfer RNA is filed under the name Gryllotalpicola protaetiae. It matches the Rfam family "tRNA". Rfam says of the family: Transfer RNA (tRNA) molecules are approximately 80 nucleotides in length. Their secondary structure includes four short double-helical elements and three loops (D, anti-codon, and T loops). Further hydrogen bonds mediate the characteristic L-shaped molecular structure. tRNAs have two regions of fundamental functional importance: the anti-codon, which is responsible for specific mRNA codon recognition, and the 3' end, to which the tRNAs corresponding amino acid is attached (by aminoacyl-tRNA synthetases). tRNAs cope with the degeneracy of the genetic code in two manners: having more than one tRNA (with a specific anti-codon) for a particular amino acid; and 'wobble' base-pairing, i.e. permitting non-standard base-pairing at the 3rd anti-codon position. Lineage: Bacteria; Bacillati; Actinomycetota; Actinomycetes; Micrococcales; Microbacteriaceae. The record is from Rfam by way of RNAcentral.